Molecule: ribosomal RNA, 468 nt
Filed under: uncultured Methyloversatilis sp.
Lineage: Bacteria; Pseudomonadati; Pseudomonadota; Betaproteobacteria; Nitrosomonadales; Sterolibacteriaceae
Description: bacterial SSU rRNA
Rfam family: Bacterial small subunit ribosomal RNA
Source: RNAcentral
UCUCCUACGGGAGGCAGCAGUGGGGAAUUUUGGACAAUGGGGGCAACCCUGAUCCAGCCAUUCCGCGUGAGUGAAGAAGGCCUUCGGGUUGUAAAGCUCUUUCGGCAGGAACGAAACGGCGAGCUCUAACAUAGCUUGCUAAUGACGGUACCUGAAGAAGAAGCACCGGCUAACUACGUGCCAGCAGCCGCGGUAAUACGUAGGGUGCGAGCGUUAAUCGGAAUUACUGGGCGUAAAGCGUGCGCAGGCGGUUGAGUAGGACAGGUGUGAAUUCCCCGGGCUUAACCUGGGAACUGCGCUUGUGACUGCACGGCUAGAGUAUGGCAGAGGGGGGUGGAAUUCCACGUGUAGCAGUGAAAUGCGUAGAGAUGUGGAGGAACACCGAUGGCGAAGGCAGCCCCCUGGGCCAAUACUGACGCUCAUGCACGAAAGCGUGGGGAGCAAACAGGAUUAGAUACCCCGGUAGUC